Molecule: ribosomal RNA, 1356 nt
Filed under: Triticum aestivum (bread wheat)
Lineage: Eukaryota; Viridiplantae; Streptophyta; Magnoliopsida; Poales; Poaceae
Description: partial small subunit ribosomal RNA
Source: RNAcentral
AUGGCGAGUCAGGGAGGGAAGGUGACUGAUGUUUUGGGGAAGAAACCAGCUAAUGGAGAGGGUUCGAGGGGGGUGACAAAUGCUGUGGAUGCCUCUGGUUCCUCUCUCCAUAUAGCAAUGCAUAAUCAGUUGGGGAUGAAGAUGUCGGGGAGUCGUCCUCUGGUCGUCGACAUGGAGGCAGCCUGCAAGGCCAUUGGUGGUUUCCUCGUGGUUGGACGCCUCCUCUCUCCUUUCCAGGUCAACCCAAGGGCCAUCCUCGAUGAUCUCCGAAACACGGCUUGGAAGAACCAAGGGGUGACCACCCUCCAAGAGGUGGCCAGCGACGAUGGGAGGUUCAUCCUCAACUUCGCCGCUGAAAGUGACCGUCGGUUUGUGCUUCAGGCGCAGCCAUGGCACUUCAAGCGGGAUGGGCUGAUCUUCGCCGAGUUCGACGGCAAGGGCGACCCGGCGGAGGUAGACCUUGGCGUCAUGACCAUAUGGGUCCAGGUACGAGAUCUUCCGUUCGUGCUUAUGACAGAAAGUAUAGGGUGGUCUCUAGAGGAUCAAUUGGGAGAGGUGCUGGAGGUAUGGCACCGCAACCAUGUGAUCAUUGAAAAAUAUUUGUGUGUGCGUGUGAAGCUCCUACUGCAUGAACCUUUGAAGACUUCUGUAGAGUUUACCCCCUUAGGUAGUUCUAAGAUACUUAAAUUCAAUGUAAAAUAUGCGAAGCUUCCUUUGUACUGUGAGUGUUGUGGGAUUGUGGGUCAUACUUCUGAGAGAUUUUGUAAAAUCCCAAGUGAGAAGAGAGUAGUUUGCUUCCCUAGAAAUCUGAGUGUUGAGCCCUACUGGAAGAGCCAAGGUGCUAGCAGGAGGGGUCUCCUCUUCGGGAACUACUCACGCAGCGACAAGAAUCCGACUACAAGCAUCGCCAACAACAACAACAACCCCAAGCCCAUGGACGUCGUCAAGGUGGCCACUGCCGUGAGUGGGCUCACGGUCUCUGAUAAGGGGCCCGCCACUUCCGCCAAGACAACCACCGGCCAGGAGGGCCGGGUUCAGGAGGUCCUGGCGCAUGCUCCGGCUGAUGCGUCACUUGGUCAGGUGGACCAGGUGGGUGUGCUCGCUGCUUCAGCCCAGGGCCGUAAGUCCCUGGAGGACUCUCGUCGCAGUGCAUCGCAUGACCAGGAGGGUCUCCCACUCGGCCAGGAGGGCCGGGUUCAUGUGGCUCCGCCGGCUCUAUUUGCUGCUGCUCCUGGUCAGGCGAACCGGGAAAUGGCUCUGGCUGCCCCUGCUAAACUUGCCAGGAGGGCCAAGGGCUGGCGGUGCGGGGAUGCACCCAUCCGGGUGAGCUGCAGGGCCAGGAGGGCCACGAGCUGA